GGAGAGAAGGGUAAAGCCCGCGUCCGGGAAACUUGAAAACUGCCGACGGGCAACCGUCCGUGAGUUCGAAUCUCACAGUCUCCGCCA
RNAcentral lists this transfer RNA (87 nucleotides) under Acidovorax sp. RNAcentral describes it as "tRNA-OTHER". Lineage: Bacteria; Pseudomonadati; Pseudomonadota; Betaproteobacteria; Burkholderiales; Comamonadaceae. The record is from RNAcentral.